RNAcentral lists this ribosomal RNA (494 nucleotides) under uncultured bacterium. RNAcentral describes it as "bacterial SSU rRNA". It matches the Rfam family "Bacterial small subunit ribosomal RNA", at positions 28 to 507 of the family's 1533-position model. The record is from RNAcentral.
GAUGAACGCUAGCGACAGGCUUAACACAUGCAAGUCGAGGGCAGCGGAGAGGAAAGCUUGCUUCCUCUGCCGGCGACCGGCGCGCGGGUGAGUAACACGUAUGCAACCUACCCCUGGCAGGGGGAUAACCCGGAGAAAUCCGGACUAAUACCGCGUAACACCGCGGGGAGACAUCUCCCCAGCGGUCAAAGGAUGCGAUUCCGGCCAGGGAUGGGCAUGCGGCGCAUUAGGCAGACGGCGGGGUAACGGCCCACCGUACCGACGAUGCGUAGGGGUUCUGAGAGGAAGGCCCCCCACACUGGUACUGAGACACGGACCAGACUCCUACGGGAGGCAGCAGUGAGGAAUAUUGGUCAAUGGGCGAGAGCCUGAACCAGCCAAGCCGCGUGAGGGAAGAAGGCGCUCAGCGUCGUAAACCUCUUUAGCCGGGGACAAAACCUCCUCGCGAAGGAGGCUUGAGAGUACCCGGAGAAUAAGCAUCGGCUAACUCCGUG